Rhagoletis zephyria (snowberry fruit fly) is the source of this 627-nucleotide long non-coding RNA. RefSeq lists it as uncharacterized. NCBI's taxonomy places the organism in Eukaryota, Metazoa, Arthropoda, Insecta, Diptera, Tephritidae. The record is from RefSeq and is a predicted model, not a curated record.
AUCCCAAUUUACGAUUUACGCAAUGAGGCUGAUUUUUGCUAAUCAAUGUUGGGAGCACUUUUUGAUUUCGUUUAGGCUAGCUGGUUGUCUGGCAUUUUAUCUGUUAAAUUUUCAAUAGAAAUUUUUUUUUUUUUUGAAUUAUUGAUAAAAAAAGCCUUUGCUACAAGACAUUUGCAAGCUGUAUUUGAAGAAUUUCCAAUAGAUCUGCGUCUCCGAGGCAUACGAGGUGUGUCUCUAAAGCAACCGAAGUUAAAUAAAAGAAGAAAUGUAGUAAGCGUGUCGCUGUUUGUCUGCAGCAAAGUAAAAUCUGCGUUGCUACCUUUUUCAUGUAAUUUUUCCGAUUCUAACAGAAGCUGAAUCAGAAGGCCAGAUAGUAAUUUCGUAAUUAAAAAAAAAAAAACGACUUCAAUGCUCAUAUAAUAUUAGGAUUACCGUUAGUUUCUUCAUGAUCCAAUGACCCCGAACUAUUAGAGAUGGGUGCGGGACUAAGUAUUCAACACCGAUCCUGUUUUUCAGAAUUAUACCGUGUAAAAUUCACAUUGCUUUCGAGUUAUUUUAAAUAAAAGUUAUACUUAAUUUUUUUUUCUCGAAUAUUCUACUUUCUUCACACUGAAAAAUCUGGCAUCA